This 468-nucleotide ribosomal RNA is filed under the name uncultured bacterium. RNAcentral describes it as "partial 16S ribosomal RNA". It matches the Rfam family "Bacterial small subunit ribosomal RNA", at positions 28 to 507 of the family's 1533-position model. The record is from RNAcentral.
GACGAACGCUGGCGGCGUGCUUAACACAUGCAAGUCGAACGGAAAGGCCCUGCUUUUGUUGGGUGCUCGAGUGGCGAACGGGUGAGUAACACGUGAGUAACCUGCCCUUGUCUUUGGGAUAACUUCAGGAAACUGGGGCUAAUACCGGAUAUGAGCUCCUGCUGCAUGGUGUGGGUUGGAAAGUUUCGGCGGUUGGGGAUGGACUCGCGGCUUAUCCGCUUGUUGGUGGGGUAGUGGCUUACCAAGGGUUUGACGGGUAGCCGGCCUGAGAGGGUGACCGGGCACAAUGGGACUGAGAGACGGACCAGACUCCUAAGGGAGGCAGUAGGGGGGAAUAUGGCACAAUGGGCGGAAGCCUGAUGCAGAAAUGCCGCGUGCGGGAUGACGGCCUUCGGGGUGUAAACAGAUUUCGAAUGUGACGAAGAGUGAGUGACGGUAAUGGGUAAAGAAGCACCGGCUAACUACGUG